UGGGCAACCUGCCCCUGACACUGGGAUAACCCCGGGGAAACCGGAGCUAAUACCGGAUACUCUCGGCCGAUCACAUGGCUGGCCGAGGAAAGGUCCGCCGGUCAGGGAUGGGCCCGCGGCCUAUCAGCUUGUUGGUGGGUAACGGCCCACCAAGGCGACGACGGGUAGCUGGUCUGAGAGGACGACCAGCCACACUGGAACUGAGAUACGGUCCAGACUCCGUACGGGGAGGCA
RNAcentral lists this ribosomal RNA (234 nucleotides) under uncultured bacterium. RNAcentral describes it as "partial 16S ribosomal RNA". It matches the Rfam family "Bacterial small subunit ribosomal RNA", at positions 118 to 350 of the family's 1533-position model. The record is from RNAcentral.